Molecule: small RNA, 43 nt
Filed under: Arabidopsis thaliana (thale cress)
Lineage: Eukaryota; Viridiplantae; Streptophyta; Magnoliopsida; Brassicales; Brassicaceae
Description: ATSL308440
Source: RNAcentral
CAAAGAUCUUUGUUCCAUCACAUCUUCUUCAUCAUCAUUAUCA